CCCGCCCCCGCCCGCUCAGCGUCGCACUAGCGCCAUUGCCUGCGCUUCACUUCCUCACUCGUACGGAUGCUGUAUGAAUGGUUAGGAGCAGGACAGUCAUGAGAGAAAGGCUGUUUGCAGUUUUUAUGUUCGCGAUCACUUCAUUUACGGGAUAUACUCGGGCUUCGGAAAAAAAGGAAGAAUGUCCUGCAAAGCAGGAAAUCUCAUGUGCGAGCCUGCGCACGACUGAGGGGUUCACUUACCCGGUGCCCUUUAACAUGCCAAACUCCGGAGAUUGCGAGUAUGCGUGGUAUAAGAAUGGAACAUGCAUUUUUCAUUCAGAUGGCAAAAGGUUAGGGUUUGUAGUAGCUGGGACACAUGAGACACUGACGGUCAACAGCUGUGAGGACCUGCAGUGGGAGCUUCGCUGUGACAGCAUUCAGUUUCACUGUACUGUCAGUUACACAGUUAUAGACCCUGAGGGACACGAUGGCAACCACAAUGGUGGUUUACCUGACUGGGGUGCUGCUUUAAUUGGGAUUGGAACUGGGAUUGGGAUUGUUGGUGCAUUAAUCGCAGUUUGGUUUUAUCAUCGAAAUGGUGAAAACACGUCAAAUUACUAAUAUCCGGAAUGAAGUGGUGGUUCUGGACUGUUAACCAUAAGGGGUGAUCUUGUGCUAUUGCCAUUGUCACUUUUCUAGCCUAGCAUUUUGCUGCUUUGGCAGCAUAUCACAGCUUUGUAGAUUCUAGUGCUAGUUUGUCUUCUUUAAAUCUAAAAGUAAUUGUGACACAGUCUUGUGCUACAAGGCAAAACUACUGUAAAGAGGGCACUGACACAAAAAAGAAAACUUAUAAAAUAUAUAUAUAUAUAUAUUAUAUUAUCAAUCAUAAUAAUCAUCAUAAUAAAUAAUAAUGGUUUUAUUAUAAAUAUGUAUAAAACAUAAAUAUGCUAACUACAUUUACCCCUCCCCUGAAUGAGCAGUUUUAAAUUAAUUUCCCAUUCUGAUUCAUUAUGGGGAUUAUGCUAAAUCCUACAGAGAUCACUGAGAUACUAUGUAGCAUAAUACAAUUAUUAUGCAAAUUAAGGUACAAAAAUAUUUUUUAAGUUCUACUUACUCAUAUGGACAUAAGGGGGGCAUGUAUGUUUACUGUGUACAGUACUGUGCAAAAGAUGGUUAUUUAUCUCUACCUGCAAAGCUAUACUAACAGCUGUUUCAAGGGCAGUAGGGUGUUCAUAUACAGUAAGAUUGAUUUGAUUUAGUUAAUAAAUGUUAACUGAUAAAUUAAAUCAAUUUAUUAUUACAUUAUUUUUGAAGAUUUCCACACUACCCUAGUGAAAAAUAAAUAUACUAAAAUGUAUUUGAAAUGCAUUUAUUUGAUGCUAAGUAUACUACAAAUGCAUUUACAUAUUAUGGGCCCUAUUUUAAUGAUCUAAGCGCAUGGUCUAAAGCGCACGGCGCAGGUGCACUUGGGGUGUUUCCUAAUCUAUCGGCGCGCCCGGUGCAUGGUCUAAAAGGGUUGUCCCUAUUCUCUUAAUGAGUAAUGGGUGUGUUUUUGGGCAUAAUGUGCUAUAAACCAAUCAGAGUCUCAUCUCCCAUUCCCUUUAAGAGCGAGUUGCGCUCGCGCCAUGGCGGAUUCGCUAUUUAAACGGUGGAAUUUUAAAGGGGUCAUAUGGUGCUUUUUUAAAGAUCAUUAUUUGGUGUAACAGAAUAUGUUGACAUGCUUUAAUGUUCAAAAAACAUAUUAUUUUUCAAAUACUGUACAUUAUUGUAGGUCAUAGAGGCCCCGCCUCUCUCAAACGCUUCGUUUUCUACAAAGUCCCUCCUUCCGACAAGCGCUUUCUCUCCCUCUCUCUCGUGCUCUCUUUCUAUCCCUCUCUCUCGUGCUCUCUUUCUCUCUCCCUCUCUCUCCCGCGCUCUCUCUCGCGCUCUCUCUCUCACGCGCGCACGCACACACACACAUACACGAUGCGCAAAACUCUGCAUUUGAACAGUCAAUAGCAAAUACUUAAACUAAUAACAAAACAGUAGCUGAUUCAGAAGCGCCAGAUUGUCGUAGCAAAGUCAGAAUUACCUCCUCUCCUAGGUUCACGAAACGGUCAUCCAUAAAAUGCAUUGCUGUUCUGUUGUAAGUAAUCUUAAAGAUUCCUAAAUGCAUCUACUUCUGAAAGGCCAAAUAAAGUGCUUUUGCUUUCGCCUAUAAACACACAGCGUCUCCCUGACAUGGCUGCUUCCACACUAACUGCGGUUACUGAAACCACGCCUUCUUUCUUUGCGUGCACAUUUGGGUGGCAUUAUGCUAAUAUUUCCACAUAGUGAGGUAGAUAUGUGGGGGCAUGUUAGAACAAGCCGUUUUAGGGGGGCGUGGCAGAGUCUUAACUUUGAUAAAGAAUAUCUCUUUGGGUUUGAGACUUUAGUCUUUGCAACUUCAGGGAUCUUAUCUAUGCACAAUCCGCUUGUAACACUCCAAAGAGAAAGGAAAACUUGAAAUCGCAUCAUAUUACCCCUUUAAGGCACACAGACUGAACGGGUCUCCAGAGAGCAAAGGGAUCUGCUCAUGCGCGAGCAAGUAGGUAGGCUAAUUCUGAUACACGCAGUGACUAUCCAUUAUGACAUGUAUGACAUUUUUAUAUUUAUGUAGCCUUACUGUAAUCCUUUAAUUUUUAAUAGUUGGCAUGUUUGUGUGCUGCUGCGCGUCCCUGUGUGUAAUAAGCAAAAUGAACGCGCGUUGUGGACCCGCCCAGAUGCGCAUUUUCUACUAACGCGGUCUUUAAAUAACAAAAAGCUAUAGAGAAAUUGACUUUAGACUUUAGACCAGGUUUGAGUUGGUCUAUGGCGCAGUCUAUUUUCAGUUCCUCAAAAUAGCAACGCGCCAACGAUGCGCCUGAACACACCUCUUUUUUAGACCAGCACGCCCAUGGGCGCACAAAUGGGCGCAAAUGCAUUUGCAGACCUGCCAGCCUACGCAUUUUGCGUAGCGGAUACGCAUUUUGACUUCAAAGUACGCUGGUACGAUUUGUCACUCUCUAAACUACGCAAAAAAACCUGGUGACGCCUCUGUCCACGCGCAGUAUUCAAAACAAGCAACAGAAAAAGAUGAAGAGGUCAACCAAUCAGAGCGUUUUUUAGGUUUUGCUUUUAAAUUUCCGUGCGUUUUAUUUCUCUCCAAGCUGGCUCUGUUUGUGUGUCCGUAAGUCUGCGCGCUGAGAUGAGUAAACGCCUGGAUCUGAAAAAGCAACACGCGCCGUGCAUCUUCCCUUGUAAUGACUAAACCAGGGGUGCCCAAACUCGGUCCUGGAGGUCCGGUGUCCUGCAGAGUUUAGCUCCAACCCCAAUUAAACACCCCUGAACCAGCUAAUCAAGCACUUAUAGGCAUACUAGAAACUUACCAGCAGGAGUGUUGAGGCAAGUUGGAGCUAAACUCUGCAGGACACCGGCCCUCCAGGACCGAGUUUGGGCAGCCCUGGACUAAACCUUUUGUCCAACAACAAAAAAGAACAUUAUAACAUUCUUUUACUGCACAACAUCAGACAAAUGUUUAAAAUAAUUUCCUUCUUGAUCUGAGGUGGCUUCUUAUCACAGAAUGACACAUAAAUAUAUUCUACACUGGAAUAAUGGCUAAAUCGAUUAGCAGUGGAUUAUAAAUAUAACAUUACUUAAUUAUUAAAAUACUCGAGGUGGUUUUAAGAACACAGAUAAACAUUGUCGCAGUACAGUGUUUAUUAUCUUAAUGUUCUUUUUGAGUGUCAUCAUUCAAAGCGUUUCUGUCUUCUUUCAUUCAGUUACAGCGAUAGUUGGCUUUUUUGUCUUUAUUAGGGAGCGUCCUGAGUUCUAUUUCUUCUAUAAUGUAUAUGUGGAUUUUCUGCGCGAGGGCGCCCUCAGGCAUCUAGUGUGAAUGAAACACACAUUACAUGUGUUCAUAGCAUAGGUUCAUAGCACUAAAUAAUGGCCAAUCCAUAAAAAUAAUACUUCUUUUUUUUAAAUAGCAUUUAAAAAUAGCAUAAAAUAUAACUAAACCAAAAACUGUGGUAAUUUUUUUUUUAAACUGAGGUAUUUAUUGAACCGUGGGCUAACUGUAUUGUUGCAUCCCUACUGUUUACUGUACAAUAACAGUAAUAUUACAAACUGAGUGCAGACCCUGAUUAUUAACCUAUACAAAAUAUAUUUAACAUUAAAUCUUGCAAAAACUUGCAAGUUUUUUUGCAACUUGCAAAAGUCUCGAGCG
This 4203-nucleotide long non-coding RNA is filed under the name Sinocyclocheilus grahami. RNAcentral describes it as "lncRNA (ENSSGRG00000039799.1)". Lineage: Eukaryota; Metazoa; Chordata; Actinopteri; Cypriniformes; Cyprinidae. The record is from RNAcentral.